CAGCAGCCGCGGUAAUACGUAGGGUGCGAGCGUUAAUCGGAAAUACUGGGCGUAAAGCGUGCGCAGGCGGUUAUAUAAGACAGAUGUGAAAUCCCCGGGCUCAACCUGGGACCUGCAUUUGUGACUGUAUAGCUAGAGUACGGUAGAGGGGGAUGGAAUUCCGCGUGUAGCAGUGAAAUGCGUAGAUAUGCGGAGGAACACCGAUGGCGAAGGCAAUCCCCUGGACCUGUACUGACGCUCAUGCACGAAAGCGUGGGGAGCAAACAGGAUUAGAUACCCCGGUAGUCCCUGUCUCUUAUAC
Molecule: ribosomal RNA, 301 nt
Filed under: uncultured bacterium
Lineage: Bacteria
Description: partial 16S ribosomal RNA
Rfam family: Bacterial small subunit ribosomal RNA
Source: RNAcentral